Molecule: microRNA, 24 nt
Filed under: Saccoglossus kowalevskii
Lineage: Eukaryota; Metazoa; Hemichordata; Enteropneusta; Harrimaniidae
Description: sko-miR-365-5p
Gene: sko-miR-365-5p
Source: miRBase by way of RNAcentral
UGGGGUCUCAGAGAGAGCAUUCUG